RNAcentral lists this long non-coding RNA (210 nucleotides) under Ricinus communis (castor bean). RNAcentral's name for it is "long non-coding RNA (RCOM_LNC000725)". The record is from RNAcentral. Lineage: Eukaryota; Viridiplantae; Streptophyta; Magnoliopsida; Malpighiales; Euphorbiaceae.
UGGAUACAUCUUAGAAGGAAUUUAUAACCUCAUCUUCAUUGAAAUCAGGGCUAAUCAUGGAAACCUGGUUUGGAGGUGGUCUGUUAUUGUAGUUGGGUAGUGGGUCUCUUUUUGUACUGGGCUAGUUAGGGUCAAUUAGCUUUUCGACAUUAAUUAGGUCUUGGAUUUCGUGUUUUAGGCAAAUGCAAUUGGCAUUGUGGUAUAUGGGUG